GUAAUGUCUGGGAAACUGCCUGAUGGAGGGGGAUAACUGCUGGAAACGGUAGCUAAUACCGCAUAACGUCGCAAGACCAAAGAGGGGGACCUUCGGGCCUCUUGCCAUCGGAUGUGCCCAGAUGGGAUUAGCUAGUAGGUGGGGUAACGGCUCACCUAGGCGACGAUCCCUAGCUGGUCUGAGAGGAUGGCCAGCCACACUGGAACUGAGACACGGUCCAG
This 221-nucleotide ribosomal RNA is filed under the name uncultured bacterium. RNAcentral's name for it is "partial 16S ribosomal RNA". It matches the Rfam family "Bacterial small subunit ribosomal RNA", at positions 110 to 334 of the family's 1533-position model. The record is from RNAcentral.